Molecule: unclassified non-coding RNA, 358 nt
Filed under: soil metagenome
Description: partial contains 5.8S ribosomal RNA, internal transcribed spacer 2, and large subunit ribosomal RNA
Rfam family: 5.8S ribosomal RNA (bases 1-120)
Source: RNAcentral
GAUGAAGAACGUAGCGAAAUGCGAUAAGUAAUGUGAAUUGCAGAAUUCAGUGAAUCAUCGAAUCUUUGAACGCACAUUGCGCCCGCCAGUAUUCUGGCGGGCAUGCCUGUCCGAGCGUCAUUUCAACCCUCGAACCCCUCCGGGGGGUCGGCGUUGGGGACCUCGGGAGCCCCUAAGACGGGAUCCCGGCCCCGAAAUACAGUGGCGGUCUCGCCGCAGCCUCUCCUGCGCAGUAGUUUGCACAACUCGCACCGGGAGCGCGGCGCGUCCACGUCCGGAAAACACCCAACUUCUGAAAUGUUGACCUCGGAUCAGGUAGGAAUACCCGCUGAACUUAAGCAUAUCAAUAAGCGGAGGA